UAAAUCCGCAAAUUCCAAAAGUACCACCAUUCCUUCUCAAUGUACAAGCAUCAAACUCGAUCGUAUCAUUAACUGUCCACAAAAAUAUCAAAAAACCAAAACUCCAAACAAAUCAAAACAAAAAUUCAAAAACACAGAAAAUCGAGGCGGCGAAGGAAAUUCGGCGGAAAAAAAAGCAAAGGAAAAACGAUCCGAUCCGAUCCGAUCUGACCUGACAUUGAUAGAUCACCACAGAUCUAAGGUAAGCUACCUUCUAGAAGCGGCGGCGAAGUGAGGAUAAUUGAAUCGGGAAGCAGCGAGGCGGAGGCGAGGGGAGACGGUCCUAGCUAAGGAAGCGGCGUCGCUGAGGAGAUAAUCGAGAGAGUGCACGAACAUAUUCAGGAUUCGAAUCGGCGGGAAGUACAGAAUGAGCGGCGCCGCCGAGAACGCCACCGCCAGGAACAGUUGGAGCAUCGUCAUGAUCUGAAGAAGGAUCUUUUCACCGGAGCUUUUCCGACGGCCUUCAUCAAGGCGGCGAUUUCCAGAACCUUCGCUACUUUGAUUCCCCGCCGCGCCUCCGCCGUUGCCCUCCGCUCCUCCGCCUUCCUGUGCGCCCUUGCGACGUCGUUUUGCAUCCUUUCUAGCGCUUUUGCUCUCUUCUCCUCCAGCUUCCUCUGCAAUCAAUCAAACAGUUGAAAAAAGCUCAAUUAAGGCGGCGAUGGCGGAAAUCGAAUGCUCAGAAACUGAAAUCGCACCUCAACUUUCUUCAUCCUUGAAGUGGCGACUUGAACCUGCUCGCUCUCCCAGCCGUUGAUCACCGCGUCCUCUCGUUUGAACCGGUUGUUGAUCUUCGCUAUCUUCGCGUUCUGCCACGCUCCGAUCUUCGAUUCCGCCUCCUCCUUCUUCACCUGGCGCUGCAUCGUCGCCGCUCCAUCGCCACGGCCGUACUCCGGCGACCUCGGCGGCGGAUUAGCAUCCUGAAGCACAAUCGCCAGAGGAUUCGUCUCCUCGUUCGAGUAACCGCUCGCUUCCUCACCAAUCCUGGUCAGAUUCGUCUCGUUCUCAGUUCGAAUCCUGGAUCCUGCGAGGACUAAGGCGUUGAACUCCCUGCUAAUUGACGUGAACUGCUCGCCGCUGUCGGCCAGCGACGACGACGCCGACGCCGACGACGGUCGGACUGCGACCGGCGGCAGAGGCGGCGCCAAAGCGUGGAUGUCUCGGACGAUCGGAGACGGAGGCUCAUCGCCUACGGCGUCGUUUUGAGCAUUGAGGUUAGCUACUCUUCCACUCUGCGUUUGAUCACUCUGCAUUUUGCGA
This is a long non-coding RNA of Andrographis paniculata, 1296 nucleotides long. RefSeq lists it as uncharacterized. Lineage: Eukaryota; Viridiplantae; Streptophyta; Magnoliopsida; Lamiales; Acanthaceae. The record is from RefSeq and is a predicted model, not a curated record. The transcript has 2 exons.